AGUGCCUUACUACAAGGAACGAGUUGCAGCUGAUACAUGCUCUUUGGAGGAAGAGGAAGAUAAUAACCAGGAAGACUACUCCUUUGAUGAGGGUUCUGAGACACAGGCUACUACAAUUCUUAAAGCUAUAGAAAAUUCAUUCGAGGAUACUGAAAUUGAUAUCGAUCAAGAUGGGGAGGACUUUGAAACUCCAGUACAAGCACAAGUUUC
Long non-coding RNA from Anneissia japonica, 210 nucleotides. RefSeq lists it as uncharacterized. NCBI's taxonomy places the organism in Eukaryota, Metazoa, Echinodermata, Crinoidea, Comatulida, Comatulidae. The transcript is spliced from 3 exons. The record is from RefSeq and is a predicted model, not a curated record.